CUCGAUCGCAGCGAGACCCACCCUCAAGCUCCAAGCUCCAAGAACCAUGGCCGCCACCUCGCUGUCGCCGCCGACCGUGGCCGGGCUGCGGCUGGCGCCGUCGCCGCGCGUGCGGUCGCCGUCUGUGGCGUUCAGGGCGGCGCCGGCGAGGAGGAGGUCGGUGGCGGCGAGGGCGGAGCUGAGCCCGUCGCUGGUGAUCAGCCUGAGCACCGGCGUCUCCCUGUUCCUGGGGCGGUUCGUGUUCUUCAACUUCCAGCGGGAGAACGUGGCGAAGCAGGUGCCGGAGCAGAACGGCAAGACGCACUUCGACGCCGGCGACGAGCGCGCCAAGGAGUUCGCCGGCCUGCUCCGGUCCAACGACCCCGUCGGCUUCAACCUCGUCGACGUCCUCGCCUGGGGCUCCCUCGGCCACAUCGUCGCCUACUACAUCCUCGCCACCUGCAGCAACGGAUACAACCCAAACUUCUUCUGAUCAUUCUCAUCUUGGAUGGAUGCAAUGUAAUCUGAAUGGAUCUCUGGUGUUUCUACGUGAUUAUGUAUGAGAUGGGUAAAAAAGAAAAGAAAAAAGG
This 569-nucleotide unclassified non-coding RNA is filed under the name Hevea brasiliensis (rubber tree). The record is from RNAcentral. Lineage: Eukaryota; Viridiplantae; Streptophyta; Magnoliopsida; Malpighiales; Euphorbiaceae.